This 164-nucleotide small nuclear RNA is filed under the name Erinaceus europaeus (western European hedgehog). Its description in RNAcentral is "U1 spliceosomal RNA". It matches the Rfam family "U1 spliceosomal RNA". From Rfam's summary of the family: U1 is a small nuclear RNA (snRNA) component of the spliceosome (involved in pre-mRNA splicing). Its 5' end forms complementary base pairs with the 5' splice junction, thus defining the 5' donor site of an intron. The record is from Rfam by way of RNAcentral. Lineage: Eukaryota; Metazoa; Chordata; Mammalia; Eulipotyphla; Erinaceidae.
AUACUUACCUGGCAGGGCAGAUACCAUGAUCACGAAGGUGGUUUUCCCAGGGCGAGGCUUAUCCAUUGCACUCCGGAUGUGCUGACCCCUGCGAUUUCCCCAAAUGUGGGAAACUCGACCGCAUAAUUUGUGGUAGUGGGGGACUGCGUUCGCGCUCUCCCCUG